AUUGAACGCUGGCGGCAUGCCUUACACAUGCAAGUCGAACGGCAGCACGGGUGCUUGCACCUGGUGGCGAGUGGCGAACGGGUGAGUAAUAUAUCGGAACGUACCUUAUUGUGGGGGAUAACGCAGCGAAAGCUGUGCUAAUACCGCAUAAUCCCUAAGGGGGAAAGCGGGGGACCGUAAGGCCUCGCGCAAUUAGAGCGGCCGAUACCUGAUUAGCUAGUUGGUGAGGUAAAGGCCCACCAAGGCAACGAUAAGUAGCUGGUCUGAGAGGACGAGCAGCCACAAUGGGACUGAGACACGGCCCAGACUCCUACGGGAGGCAGCAGUGGGGAAUUUUGGACAAUGGGGGCAACCCUGAUCCAGCAAUGCCGCGUGAGUGAAGAAGGCCUUCGGGUUGUAAAGCUUUUUUGUCAGGGAAGAAACAGCAGCUCUAACACAGUAUGCGAAUGACGGUACCUGAAGAAUAAGCACCGGCUAACUACGUGCCAGCAGCCGCCGUAA
This 501-nucleotide ribosomal RNA is filed under the name uncultured bacterium. RNAcentral describes it as "partial 16S ribosomal RNA". It matches the Rfam family "Bacterial small subunit ribosomal RNA", at positions 30 to 523 of the family's 1533-position model. The record is from RNAcentral.